UACGUAGGGUGCAAGCGUUAAUCGGAAUUACUGGGCGUAAAGCGUGCGCAGGCGGUUAUAUAAGACAGAUGUGAAAUCCCGGGCCAACCUGGACUGCAUUGUGACUGUAUAGCUAGAGUACGGUAGAGGGGAGUGGAAUUCCGCGUGUAGCAGUGAAAUGCGUAGAUAUGCGGAGGAACACCGAUGGCGAAGGCAAUCCCCUGGACCUGUACUGACGCUCAUGCACGAAAGCGUGGGGAGCAAACAGGAUUAGAACCACC
This 260-nucleotide ribosomal RNA is filed under the name uncultured bacterium. Its description in RNAcentral is "partial 16S ribosomal RNA". It matches the Rfam family "Bacterial small subunit ribosomal RNA", at positions 524 to 787 of the family's 1533-position model. The record is from RNAcentral.